AACGCACCUUGCACCCCUUGGUACUCCAGGGGGUAUGCCUGUUUGAGUGUCAUUUUCUUAUCCUCAAUGCAAAUGGCAGUGUCCUUAUGGAUGCUCCCUUUGUAUUGGAAGUGAAGGUCUGCUGGACUCGUUCAGCUCCUUUGAAAUUCAUUAGCAGGGAACAAGGCAAAACCAGCUUCAGUUUGAUAGGGUCUAGCUGUUGCUGUGGAAAGUCUUUCUUUUUGCCCUGCUUUCCGUCUCCUGUGAGACUGUCCAUUUGCUGGGCAUCGUAUCAUAUCUUGACCUCAAAUCAGGUAGGACUACCCGCUGAACUUAA
RNAcentral lists this unclassified non-coding RNA (316 nucleotides) under uncultured fungus. Its description in RNAcentral is "sequence contains ITS2". The stretch from base 1 to 52 matches the Rfam family "5.8S ribosomal RNA", at positions 103 to 154 of the family's 154-position model. The record is from RNAcentral. Lineage: Eukaryota; Fungi.